RNAcentral lists this ribosomal RNA (305 nucleotides) under uncultured bacterium. Its description in RNAcentral is "bacterial SSU rRNA". It matches the Rfam family "Bacterial small subunit ribosomal RNA", at positions 338 to 640 of the family's 1533-position model. The record is from RNAcentral.
CCUACGGGAGGCAGCAGUGAGGAAUAUUGGUCAAUGGGCUUACGCCUGAACCAGCCAAGUCGCGUGAGGGAAGACUGCCCUAUGGGUUGUAAACCUCUUUUGUCAGGGAGCAACGCCGGCUACGUGUAGCCGGACUGAGAGUACCUGAAGAAAAAGCAUCGGCUAACUCCGUGCCAGCAGCCGCGGUAAUACGGAGGAUGCGAGCGUUAUCCGGAUUUAUUGGGUUUAAAGGGUGCGCAGGCGGUCUGUUAAGUCAGCGGUCAAAGCCCGGGGCUCAACCCCGGCCCGCCGUUGAAACUGGCAGU